RNAcentral lists this ribosomal RNA (172 nucleotides) under uncultured Desulfobulbus sp. RNAcentral describes it as "partial 16S ribosomal RNA". It matches the Rfam family "Bacterial small subunit ribosomal RNA", at positions 1211 to 1382 of the family's 1533-position model. Lineage: Bacteria; Pseudomonadati; Thermodesulfobacteriota; Desulfobulbia; Desulfobulbales; Desulfobulbaceae. The record is from RNAcentral.
GGGCUACACACGUACUACAAUGGCCGGUACAAAGGGCAGCGACAUUGCGAGAUGGAGCGAAUCCCGAAAAGCCGGUCUCAGUCCGGAUUGGAGUCUGCAACUCGACUCCAUGAAGUUGGAAUCGCUAGUAAUCGUGGAUCAGCAUGCCACGGUGAAUACGUUCCCGGGCCUU